UAGGGAAUCUUCGGCAAUGGGGGGAACCCUGACCGAGCAACGCCGCGUGAGUGAAGAAGGUUUUCGGAUCGUAAAGCUCUGUUGUUAAGGAAGAACGAGUGUGAGAAUGGAAAGUUCAUACUGUGACGGUACUUAACCAGAAAGGGACGGCUAACUACGUGCCAGCAGCCGCGGUAAUACGUAGGUCCCGAGCGUUGUCCGGAUUUAUUGGGCGUAAAGCGAGCGCAGGCGGUUAGAUAAGUCUGAAGUUAAAGGCAGUGGCUCAACCAUUGUAGGCUUUGGAAACUGUUUAACUUGAGUGCAGAAGGGGAGAGUGUAAUUCCAUGUGUAGCGGUGAAAUGCGUAAAUAUAUGGAGGAACACCGGUGGCGAAAGCGGCUCUCUGGUCUGUAACUGACGCUGAGGCUCGAAAGCGUGGGGAGCGAACAGG
This 429-nucleotide ribosomal RNA is filed under the name Bacteroidota bacterium. RNAcentral describes it as "Bacteroidetes bacterium partial 16S ribosomal RNA". It matches the Rfam family "Bacterial small subunit ribosomal RNA", at positions 355 to 776 of the family's 1533-position model. Lineage: Bacteria; Pseudomonadati; Bacteroidota. The record is from RNAcentral.